RNAcentral lists this ribosomal RNA (629 nucleotides) under Hepatozoon canis. Its description in RNAcentral is "SSU rRNA". It matches the Rfam family "Eukaryotic small subunit ribosomal RNA", at positions 202 to 821 of the family's 1831-position model. The record is from RNAcentral. Lineage: Eukaryota; Apicomplexa; Hepatozoidae.
CGCAUGUAUUAGAUAAAGCCAAUGCAUGCUUUUACAGUAUGGAAAUUGGUGAUUUAUAAUAACUUAGCAAAUCGCAAAGUGAAAACAGGCGAUAAAUCAUUCAAGUUUCUGACCUAUCAGCUUUCGACGGUAUGGUAUUGGCUUACCGUGGCAGUGACGGUUAACGGGGGAUUAGGGUUCGAUUCCGGAGAGGGAGCCUGAGAAACGGCUACCACAUCUAAGGAAGGCAGCAGGCGCGCAAAUUACCCAAUUCUAACAGUUUGAGAGAGGUAGUAACAAGAAAUAACAAUACAAGGCAGUUAAAAUGCUUUGUAAUUGGAAUGAUAGAAAUUUAAACCCUUUUUAAAGUAUCAAUUGGAGGGCAAGUCUGGUGCCAGCAGCCGCGGUAAUUCCAGCUCCAAUAGCGUAUAUUAAAAUUGUUGCAGUUAAAAAGCUCGUAGUUGAAGUUCUGCUAAAAGUAACCGGUCUGCUUUUAAUAAAAGUGGUAUCUUGGUGUGUAUUUAGCAAUGAUGUCCUUUGAAGUGUUUUUUACUUUAUUGUAAUAAAGCAUAUUCAGGACUUUUACUUUGAGAAAAUUAGAGUGUUUCUAGCAGGCCGACGCUUUGAAUACUGCAGCAUGGAAUAAUAAG